RNAcentral lists this ribosomal RNA (305 nucleotides) under uncultured bacterium. Its description in RNAcentral is "bacterial SSU rRNA". It matches the Rfam family "Bacterial small subunit ribosomal RNA", at positions 335 to 638 of the family's 1533-position model. The record is from RNAcentral.
UCCCUACGGGGCGCAGCAGUGAGGAAUAUUGGUCAAUGGGCGGAAGCCUGAACCAGCCAAGUCGCGUGAGGGAUUAAGGCCCUGCGGGUCGUAAACCUCUUUUGCCGGGGAGCAGAGGUCCGGACGUGUCCGGGCCGGGAGAGUACCCGGAGAAAAAGCAUCGGCUAACUCCGUGCCAGCAGCCGCGGUAAUACGGAGGAUGCGAGCGUUAUCCGGAUUUAUUGGGUUUAAAGGGUGCGUAGGCGGACUGUUAAGUCAGCGGUAAAAGCCCGGGGCUCAACCCCGGCGAGCCGUUGAAACUGGCU